Molecule: ribosomal RNA, 493 nt
Filed under: uncultured bacterium
Lineage: Bacteria
Description: partial 16S ribosomal RNA
Rfam family: Bacterial small subunit ribosomal RNA
Source: RNAcentral
GACGAACGCUGGCGGCGUGCCUAACACAUGCAAGUUGAGCGACGAACCAGGGCUUGCCCUGGGGCAAAGCAGCGAACGGGUGAGUAACACGUGGGUAACCCACCCCGAUAACCGGGACAACCCGAGGAAACUCGGGCUAAUACCGGAUGUGCUCACUGGACUUCGGUUCAGUGCGUAAAGGAAGCUUCGGCCUCCGUAUCGGGAGGGGCCCGCGGCCCAUUAGUUUGUUGGUGAGGUAACGGCUCACCAAGACCGCGAUGGGUAGCUGGUCUGAGAGGACGAUCAGCCACACUGGGACUGAGACACGGCCCAGACUCCUACGGGAGGCAGCAGUGGGGAAUCUUGCGCAAUGCGCGAAAGCGUGACGCAGCAACGCCGCGUGGGGGAAGAAGGCCUUCGGGUUGUAAACCCCUUUCAGGAGGGACGAAGGUUCGGCGGUGAAUAGCCGUCCGGACUGACGGUACCUCCACAAGAAGCCCCGGCUAACUACGUG